This 372-nucleotide ribosomal RNA is filed under the name Triticum aestivum (bread wheat). Its description in RNAcentral is "partial small subunit ribosomal RNA". The record is from RNAcentral. Lineage: Eukaryota; Viridiplantae; Streptophyta; Magnoliopsida; Poales; Poaceae.
AUGUCUAUAAUGCGUUCAUUAAUUAGACAUAAUCAGCCACCUACCAUCGACGAAUCAAUUAAAAAAACGAAUUAUGGGGCAACAAAAGUGGAAAUGUGCUGGCAGGAAAAAAAGGGAAAUGUGGAAAAGGAAAGGAGACAUCAGUCCCCAAUAUCUUCUCUAGGGUUUAUAGAAUCAUGGAAAAGGGCCAUAAACAAUACCCAAGGGAAACCCCACCCCUCCCGUCUCUCUCCCCUUCCCUGUUUGUCUGUCUGUCUCCAUCUCUCCCCUCCUCCGUCCCCGCUCCCCUGCGCCUCCUCCCAACCCCACCCGGCCACCACCCCGCCCCACCCUGCGUGCCCGGCACGUGCUCCUCUCCCUCUUCAACCCUAA